This 310-nucleotide ribosomal RNA is filed under the name uncultured bacterium. RNAcentral describes it as "partial 16S ribosomal RNA". It matches the Rfam family "Bacterial small subunit ribosomal RNA", at positions 503 to 807 of the family's 1533-position model. The record is from RNAcentral.
AAGAGACAGCAGCAGCCGCGGUAAUACAGAGGGUGCGAGCGUUAAUCGGAUUUACUGGGCGUAAAGCGUGCGUAGGCGGCUUCUUAAGUCGGAUGUGAAAUCCCUGAGCUUAACUUAGGAAUUGCAUUCGAUACUGGGAAGCUAGAGUAUGGGAGAGGAUGGUAGAAUUCCAGGUGUAGCGGUGAAAUGCGUAGAGAUCUGGAGGAAUACCGAUGGCGAAGGCAGCCAUCUGGCCUAAUACUGACGCUGAGGUACGAAAGCAUGGGGAGCAAACAGGAUUAGAUACCCGGGUAGUCCCUGUCUCUUAUAC